This 2124-nucleotide long non-coding RNA is filed under the name Homo sapiens (human). Its description in RNAcentral is "BABAM2 antisense RNA 2 (BABAM2-AS2)". Lineage: Eukaryota; Metazoa; Chordata; Mammalia; Primates; Hominidae. The record is from RNAcentral.
GCUCUCAGAGAAGCUUCCAGUGGAACCAAAGGAAUACAGAUGGAGGGCCUGGGGAGAGAUGGCCUGAGGGGACCUGCAGAAGGGAUUUACCUGCUGCCCCUCCCCCAGGGGAGCCAGGAGACUGAGCUGGGCUGUAAACACUCCGUGCCUGGUGCAGCCUGGUCUGCACAGGCUGAGAGGAUGCUCUACUUCUAAACCCCAUAAGGAAAAGGCCCAGGAGGGACGGGGAUGUUGCUGCUGAUAGCUAAAAAUGAUCAAAUUCUUACCAUAUGCCAGACCUUAUGCUGGACAAUUCACUGACAUUAUCCCACGUAGUAGGCAGAAUUCUAACGUGACCCCCAAGAUUCUCCACCUUCUGUGUAAUCCCCAGGAUUGUGAAUGUGAUGGAUUUCAUUCUGGUAAACAGGUUUUGUUAUAUGGCACAGAUGACUUUAAGACAGGGAGGCUUUAAAUCUGUGACUAGCAGAAGACAUAUGGAAGGCAGAGAUUCAAAAUAUAAGAGGGAUCUGACGCACCACUACUGGCUUGAAAAUGGAGGGGACCACAUGGCAGAGGACGCACGCAGCCUCUAGUUGCUGAGGGUGGUCUCCAGUUGACAGCGGCAAGGUAACAGGGGCCUCAGUCCUACAACCACAAGGAACUGAACUCUGCCAACAUACUGAAAGAGCUUGAAGGAGGAGCAUAAGCCUCAGGGGUGAGAUCAUAGACCCAGACAAAGCCUUGAUUUUAGUUGCCUAAAACCCCGAACUGAGAACCCAGGCAUCUUGAGUGGGACUCCUAACCCACAGAAACUGUGAGAUUAAUAAUUAGUGGCGUUUUAAAAGGGUUAACUUAUGAUAUUUUUAAAAUUAGCAACACAGAAAAUCAUACACCCCAUGUGAUACCCAUCAUAACCCUCUCAAGUAGGCUUCACCAUUUUAUAGACAAGGAAACAAAGACCCAGGGAAAUUAGGAAUUUGCCCAAAGUCACAUAGCCUGUGAGUGGCAGAGACAGGUUUAAACCCAGCUAUGUCUUGACUUUAUGGUCAGUGCUCUUCAUUGCCUCAUGCAUUUCCUCUCUGUAUGAGAAGAGAGCCUCAGACACAUGGUGAAAAGAGUAUGGAACUGUUUCUGUCUGCCUGGGUGUGGAUGUGCAGAAGGGUCAGAGGACCUAUGCUUUUGUUUUGGUUUUAAAUGGUGAAAAGACAUAUACAUAGAAUCAACUAGCUGGAUUCAGUUUAGAUGAUCCCAAUAUGCCUUCUUCUCUCCAUCAGGCCUGAUCAGGGUGUUGGCUUUGGCCACAGCAGUGUCACUGAGCUUCUUCACAGCCUGUUUGAUCUGGUGCUUGUUGGCUUUGACAUCCACAAUGGACACAAGUUGUGUUGUUGUCUUCUAUCUUCUUCAUGGCUGACUCAGUGGUUGGGGGAACCUGAUGAUGAAUUAUUGGUCAAGCUUGUUUCUCCUGGGAGUGCUCUUCCAAGCAUAUUUCUGCUGCCUGCAGAGCCACACUGUCUUGGGCCACUGGCAGGUGGGUGAUGUGUGGAUUGGAUCUUCUUUUUGUGGCUGUGGACACCUUUAAGCACUGCCUUCCUGGCCUUCAAAGCAUUCGCUUUGGCUUCAGCUUUGGGAGGGGCAAGAACUUUUUUCACUUUUGGUGCCAUAAUGUGAAAAUGAGGACCUAUGUUGAGCCCUCACUCCUCUAGAAGCCAGCUGUGUGCCCUCGGCAAAGUCAAUUAAUCACUCUGAGCCUCAGUUUUUAUAAUCUGUAUGAGGCCUACUAAGAAUUUCUGCAUUAUAACCCUUGAAGGGCUGCAGCUGAUGAUCCCAUAAAAGUGUGUGAGGGGCCACUGUGAAUGAAGUCCACAGGGCAGACAGAGGCACCUGGAUGUCAUGUAGAUAUCAUUUUCUUUUCUUGAUGACUGCCAAUUUCAAUGUCCUCUGCCUAUAGGCUGGAUAUGGUCACUCUGAUGGCUUAUUUGGAGGAAGUAAUUUUAAAUAGGUUUUUUUUUUAGAGGAAAUGAUUAUUUAUUACAUUUAUUGAAAAACUACAGAAUAAGAUGGAAGGUAAUUUUUCUUUUUUUCUUGAAUUCUUUAAAAGUUAGUUGACUAUUAAAAGCCAAAGUAAUAACAAAAAAAAAAAAAAAA